Molecule: ribosomal RNA, 779 nt
Filed under: uncultured fungus
Lineage: Eukaryota; Fungi
Description: SSU rRNA
Rfam family: Eukaryotic small subunit ribosomal RNA
Source: RNAcentral
GUGCCAGCAGCCGCGGUAAUUCCAGCUCCAAUAGCGUAUAUUAAAGUUGUUGUGGUUAAAAAGCUCGUAGUUGAACCUUGGGCCUGGCUGGCCGGUCCGCCUCACCGCGUGCACUGGUCCGGCCGGGCCUUUCCCUCUGUGGAACCCCAUACCCUUCACUGGGCGUGGCGGGGAAACAGGACAUUUACUUUGAAAAAAUUAGAGUGCUCCAGGCAGGCCUAUGCUCGAAUACAUUAGCAUGGAAUAAUAAAAUAGGACGCGCGGUUCUAUUUUGUUGGUUUAUAGGACCGCCGUAAUGAUUAAUAGGGACAGUCGGGGGCAUCAGUAUUCAACUGUCAGAGGUGAAAUUCUUGGAUCAGUUGAAGACUAACUACUGCGAAAGCAUUUGCCAAGGAUGUUUUCAUUAAUCAGGAACGAAAGUUAGGGGAUCGAAGACGACCAGAUACCGUCGUAGUCUUAACCAUAAACUAUGCCGACUAGGGAUCGGACGGUGUUAUUCAUGACCCGUUCGGCACCUUACGAGAAAUCAAAGUGCUUGGGCUCCAGGGGGAGUAUGGUCGCAAGGCUGAAACUUAAAGAAAUUGACGGAAGGCACCACCAGGGGUGGAGCCUGCGGCUUAAUUUGACUCAACACGGGAAACUCACCAGGUCCAGACACAAUAAGGAUUGACAGAUUGAGAGCUCUUUUCUUGAUUUUGUGGGUGUGGUUGCAUGGCCGUUCUUAGUUGGUGGGGUGACUUGUCUGCUUAAAUUGCGAUAACGAAACGAGACCUUAAAUC